UUUUUUAGAGAGAGUGAAAGGGAUGGGAGGGGGGGGGAGAGAGAGAGAGAGACAUCGAUUGGUUGCCUUCACAUGUGCCCCAACUGGGACCAGGGAUUGAACCUACACCCCAGGUACAUGCCCUUGAUGGAAUCAAACCUGAGAUGCUUCCAUGCAUGGGCCAACUCUCUAACCACUGAGCCACUGACCAGGGCUUUGACUCUCUAACCACUGAGCAACCAGCCAGCACUACGAUGUGUAUUUUAAGCUAAGUGUUAUUACAAAAGAGUUGAAAGUUAAAAUAAUUAAAAGUUUAUAAAGUAAAAAAGUUAUGGGAGGCUAAGGUCAAUUUAUUAUUGAAGAAGAAAAUACUUUUUUUUUUUUUUUUUACAAAUUUAGUGUAUUUUUUUCUACAGUAUUUAUAAAGCCUAUAGUCGUAUACAGUAAUGUCCUAGGCCUUCACAUUCACUCACCACUUGCUCACUGACUCACCCAGAGCAACUUCCAGUCCUGCAAGCCCCUUUCAUGGUAAGUACUCUAUACAGGUGUACCAUUUUUAAUCUUUUAUAUUGUAUUUUUACUGUAGCUUUUCUAUGUUUAGAUAUGUCUAAAUACACAAAUACUAUUGUUAUACUUAUCUAUAAUAUUCAGUAUAAUAACAUGUUGUACAGAUUUACAGCCUGGGAGCAAUAGGCUAUACAUUACCCUGGGUGUGUAGUGGGCUGUACCAUCUAGGUUUCUGUAAGUGCACUCCGUGAUGUUCACACAAUAAUUAAAUUGCCUAACAAUGCAUUUCUCAGAAAGCAUCUCCAUCAUUAAGUGGUGCAUAAUUGUACUAAUGCAUAAAAAGUGCUCAGAAAUAGUCUGUUAAUAAGUCCCCAUAGAAUUAUCUUGUCUUGAUUUAAUUUUAUUUCCAAUUUUAAAUUACUUUUUAUGAACUGGAACCUCCCAAGCUCUUGCUCAGCCUCUUGAUGUGUUUCCAGUCUACAAGGAUGCUCUUAAUAUUUCCAAGUUCUUUGCAAACAAAAAAACCCAAAAGAGUGACUUUGUUUUCCAAACACAUAUUUACCUAUUUAACAGUUGUUAGCACAGUAUGCAACGUAAGUCUGAGAAUAAUGUGGCAGACUAAAAAUAAAGAAGGAAAGAUGUCAAACUGAACCAAUACACAGCAUGAACCUUCUUUUCAGGCUCACAUAGAGUAGCAACACAAUUUUUCUUAGUAUUCAAGGUCAUCUUGACCUCAUUUAAUCCUUAAGUGCUACACAAAAAACUGUCAAAGUCAGUCUAUCAGAAGUUUAGAGUUAUCAGGAGAGAUGAAAAACACAGUAUAAACAAAAUUACUUACUUUUAUAGGUUACACUCUGUAAUUACACAGCAAGAGAUGAGAAAUGUGUCCAUUGAUAUAAUUGCUAUCUUACAUGUAUUUUUAUUUUUUUCUAAGAAUUACAAA
Myotis daubentonii (Daubenton's bat) is the source of this 1429-nucleotide long non-coding RNA. RefSeq lists it as uncharacterized. The record is from RefSeq and is a predicted model, not a curated record. NCBI's taxonomy places the organism in Eukaryota, Metazoa, Chordata, Mammalia, Chiroptera, Vespertilionidae.